Molecule: ribosomal RNA, 540 nt
Filed under: Triticum aestivum (bread wheat)
Lineage: Eukaryota; Viridiplantae; Streptophyta; Magnoliopsida; Poales; Poaceae
Description: partial small subunit ribosomal RNA
Source: RNAcentral
AUGGCUGCCGCGGGGCUUUGGAAGGCUCGAAUUCCUCUCAAGAUCAAGGUGUUCCUCUGGCAACUUUGUCAAGACCGCCUUCCUACUUCCAUCAAUAUUGCCAAACGCAAUGGCCCGGCCGCUGGGCCUUGUGCGUUGUGUGGCGUUCCGGAAGACGCUGACCAUGUGUUCUUCCGUUGCUCCUUGGCGCGCUUUGCCUGGAGCGCGGUCCGGGAGGCCGCGGGGGUGGAUUGGGAUCCACACUCCCGCCCAGAGCUAGUGUCGUCUUUGUCCUCAGUCCAGGGUUCUUCGCGUCGUGUUAUGUGGACAAGUGCGGCAGCCAUGUUGUGGGCUUUGUGGCACAUUCGUAACAAGUUUACUAUUGAGGGUGUGUUCCCCUCUCACCCUGCUGACGUAAUCUACAAAUGCAUCUUGUUCUUGCAGCAAUGGGCCCCGCUGGGAAGGCAACAGGACUCUGAUCUACAUCUUCUGGCUCUAGCUCGCCUGCGUUCCGUCUACUCCACAUCGCGAGCCCCGACGCCUCCUUCCGCUGUCUCAUAG